AAAGAUAGAGGUUGCAAUAAUAAAGAGUAAUAUUAAUGAGUUAAGCACUAUGAGUUAAUAUGAAAGGGAUUAUUGCCGAAAUGUAUAGUUAAUGCUUUAACACUAUGCAUUGGUCUUGUAUAUAACAUAUGCAAGACUGUCACAAAGUUAUUUGUGGAGUGCUGUCU
Molecule: non-coding RNA, 167 nt
Filed under: Clostridium ihumii
Lineage: Bacteria; Bacillati; Bacillota; Clostridia; Eubacteriales; Clostridiaceae
Description: Lysine riboswitch
Rfam family: Lysine riboswitch aptamer
About the family: Riboswitches are metabolite binding domains within certain messenger RNAs that serve as precision sensors for their corresponding targets. Allosteric rearrangement of mRNA structure is mediated by ligand binding, and this results in modulation of gene expression.
Source: RNAcentral